AGUGAACGCUGGCGGCAGGCUUAACACAUGCAAGUCGAACGCACCGCAAGGUGAGUGGCAGACGGGUGAGUAACGCGUGGGAACCUUCCCUUUGGUUCAGGAUAGCUCCGGGAAACUGGAAUUAAUACUGGAUAAGAUCUACGGAUGAAAGAUUUAUCGCCGAAGGAUGGGCCCGCAUAAGAUUGGCUAGUUGGUGAGGUAAUGGCUCACCAAGGCAAUGAUCUUUAGCUGGUCUGAGAGGAUGGUCAGCCACACUGGAACUGAGACACGGUCCAGACUCCUACGGGAGGCAGCAGUGAGGAAUAUUGGACAAUGGGCGCAAGCCUGAUCCAGCCAUGCCGCGUGAGUGAUGAAGGCCUUAGGGUUGUAAAACUCUUUUAGUAGGGAAAAUAAUGAUGGUACCUACAGAAAAAGCUCCGGCUAACUUCGUGCCAGCCGCCGCCGUAA
This 447-nucleotide ribosomal RNA is filed under the name uncultured bacterium. RNAcentral's name for it is "partial 16S ribosomal RNA". It matches the Rfam family "Bacterial small subunit ribosomal RNA", at positions 29 to 523 of the family's 1533-position model. The record is from RNAcentral.